Molecule: non-coding RNA, 116 nt
Organism: Populus trichocarpa (black cottonwood)
Lineage: Eukaryota; Viridiplantae; Streptophyta; Magnoliopsida; Malpighiales; Salicaceae
Source: Rfam
GGGGAGCACCUAAGAGCUGAGAUGCUACCCGAUACAACCUUCCUAGAGAAAACUCUGUAGUUUCCUGCUUGUAGUGCUUAAGCAAUCCUGCAAGCCUCAAAUGUUCAGAGACAUGA